CACGCCGUAAACUAUGAUUACUAGCUGUUUGCGAUAUAUUGUAAGCGGCACAGCGAAAGCGUUAAGUAAUCCACCUGGGGAGUACGCCGGCAACGGUGAAACUCAAAGGAAUUGACGGGGGCCCGCACAAGCGGAGGAACAUGUGGUUUAAUUCGAUGAUACGCGAGGAACCUUACCCGGGCUCGAACGGUUGAGCAAUAAUGAUGAAAGUCAUUAGCUAGCGAUAGGCUCAGUCGAGGUGC
RNAcentral lists this ribosomal RNA (242 nucleotides) under uncultured Porphyromonadaceae bacterium. RNAcentral describes it as "partial 16S ribosomal RNA". It matches the Rfam family "Bacterial small subunit ribosomal RNA", at positions 796 to 1041 of the family's 1533-position model. Lineage: Bacteria; Pseudomonadati; Bacteroidota; Bacteroidia; Bacteroidales; Porphyromonadaceae. The record is from RNAcentral.